This 372-nucleotide ribosomal RNA is filed under the name uncultured organism. RNAcentral's name for it is "bacterial SSU rRNA". It matches the Rfam family "Bacterial small subunit ribosomal RNA", at positions 526 to 896 of the family's 1533-position model. The record is from RNAcentral.
CGAAGGGUGCAAGCGUUGUUCGGAAUAACUGGGCGUAAAGGGCGCGUAGGCGGGUUGGUAAGUCACAUGUGAAAUCCCCGGGCUUAACCCGGGACGUGCAUUUGAAACUGCUGAUCUUGAAUGCUUGAGAGGGUGGUGGAAUUCCUAGUGUAGAAGUGAAAUUCGUAGAUAUUAGGAGGAACACCUGAGGCGAAGGCGGCCACCUGGCAAGACAUUGACGCUAAGGCGCGAAAGUGCGGGGAGCAAACAGGAUUAGAUACCCUGGUAGUCCGCACCAUAAACGAUGGAUACUAGAUGUUUGGAGAAUUAACCCUCUGAGUAUCAACGCACACGCAUUAAGUAUCCCGCCUGGGGAGUACGGCCGCAAGGCUG